CGGAGGUGCAAGCGUUAUCCGGAUUUACUGGGUUAAAGGGUGCGUAGGUGGUCUGUAGUCAGUGGUGAAUCUCCGAGCUUAACUCGGAAACUGCCAUUGAUACUAUAGGUCUUGAAUUAUCUGGAGGUAAGCGGAAUAUGUCAUGUAGCGGUAGAAAUGCUUAGAUAUGGACAUAGGAACACCAAUUGCCGAAGGCAGCUUACUACGGAUCGAUUGACACUGAGGCACGAAAGACGUGGGAUCAAACAGGAUU
Molecule: ribosomal RNA, 253 nt
Filed under: uncultured bacterium
Lineage: Bacteria
Description: partial 16S ribosomal RNA
Rfam family: Bacterial small subunit ribosomal RNA
Source: RNAcentral